RNAcentral lists this unclassified non-coding RNA (217 nucleotides) under Preussia sp. (in: ascomycete fungi). RNAcentral describes it as "partial contains small subunit ribosomal RNA, internal transcribed spacer 1, and 5.8S ribosomal RNA". The stretch from base 1 to 46 matches the Rfam family "Eukaryotic small subunit ribosomal RNA", at positions 1786 to 1831 of the family's 1831-position model. The record is from RNAcentral. Lineage: Eukaryota; Fungi; Ascomycota; Dothideomycetes; Pleosporales; Sporormiaceae. RNAcentral also lists the same sequence under 1 other name.
AAGUCGUAACAAGGUUUCCGUAGGUGAACCUGCGGAAGGAUCAUUAACGUGGGGCUCCGGCCCCGCCGAGAUAGAACCCUUGCCUUUUCGAGUACCAAACGUUUCCUCGGCAGGUCCGCCUGCCAAUGGGGACCCAAACAAACCCUUGAAUCACCAGUCACAGUCUGAGAAAACAAAACAAAAAUCAAAACUUUCAACAACGGAUCUCUUGGUUCUG